This 253-nucleotide ribosomal RNA is filed under the name uncultured bacterium. RNAcentral describes it as "partial 16S ribosomal RNA". It matches the Rfam family "Bacterial small subunit ribosomal RNA", at positions 524 to 776 of the family's 1533-position model. The record is from RNAcentral.
UACGUAGGGAGCAAGCGUUGUCCGGAAUCAUUGGGCGUAAAGCGCGCGUAGGCGGCUCGAUCAGUCUGUUGUGAAAGUCAAAGGCUCAACCUUUGAAUGCCGAUGGAUACUGUCGAGCUAGAGUCCGGAAGAGGCGGGUGGAAUUCCUGGUGUAGCGGUGGAAUGCGCAGAUAUCAGGAGGAACACCAAUAGCGAAGGCAGCUCGCUGGGACGUUACUGACACUAAGGCGCGAAAGCGUGGGGAGCGAACAGG